Molecule: non-coding RNA, 125 nt
Organism: Triticum aestivum (bread wheat)
Lineage: Eukaryota; Viridiplantae; Streptophyta; Magnoliopsida; Poales; Poaceae
Source: Rfam
AUAAUACUCCCUCCGUUCGGAAUUACUUGUUGCAUAAAUGGAUGAAAAUGGAUAUAUCUAAAAUUAAAAUACAUUUGAAUACAUUUAUUUCUCUGACAAAUAUUUCCGAACGGAGGGAGUACAAA